AAAUUGAAGAGUUUGAUCAUGGCUCAGAUUGAACGCUGGCGGCAGGCCUAACACAUGCAAGUCGAACGGUAACAGGAAGCAGCUUGCUGUUUCGCUGACGAGUGGCGGACGGGUGAGUAAUGUCUGGGAAACUGCCUGAUGGAGGGGGAUAACUACUGGAAACGGUAGCUAAUAC
RNAcentral lists this ribosomal RNA (175 nucleotides) under Escherichia coli. RNAcentral's name for it is "partial 16S ribosomal RNA". It matches the Rfam family "Bacterial small subunit ribosomal RNA", at positions 1 to 169 of the family's 1533-position model. The record is from RNAcentral. RNAcentral also lists the same sequence under 1 other name. Lineage: Bacteria; Pseudomonadati; Pseudomonadota; Gammaproteobacteria; Enterobacterales; Enterobacteriaceae.